GGGGUUUGGAAUGAAGCUUGUUCCAAAAUCUAUUCUUCUAUACUUUUUGAUAUCAAAUUAUAGCACUAUAAUGGACAGAUGGGAUUUCGGACCAGGCUUCGUUCCUCACACC
RNAcentral lists this microRNA precursor (112 nucleotides) under Daucus carota subsp. sativus. RNAcentral's name for it is "pre miRNA mir-166". Lineage: Eukaryota; Viridiplantae; Streptophyta; Magnoliopsida; Apiales; Apiaceae. The record is from RNAcentral.